AGAACGAACGCUGGCGGCAGGCCUCAAACAUGCAAGUCUAGGGGGUGUAGCAAUACAUCACCGGCGGACGGGUGCGUAACGCGUGGGAAUGUACCUAUUGGUUCGGAACAACCCAGGGAAACUUGGGCUAAUACCGAAUGUGCCCGAAAGGGGAAAGAUUUAUCGCCAAUGGAUCAGCCCGCGUAGGAUUAGCUAGUUGGUGGGGUAAUGGCCCACCAAGGCUCCGAUCCUUAGCUGUUCUGAGAGGAAGAUCAGCCACACUGGGACUGAGACACGGCCCAGACUCCUACGGGAGGCAGCAGUUGGGAAUCUUGGACAAUGGGGGAAACCCUGAUCCAGCCAUGCCGCGUGAGUGAUGAAGGCCUUCGGGUUGUAAAACUCUUUCGACGGGGACGAUAAUGACGGUACCCGUAGAAGAAGCUCCGGCUAACUUCGUGCCAGCAGCCGC
RNAcentral lists this ribosomal RNA (448 nucleotides) under uncultured bacterium. Its description in RNAcentral is "SSU rRNA". It matches the Rfam family "Bacterial small subunit ribosomal RNA", at positions 26 to 518 of the family's 1533-position model. The record is from RNAcentral.